CCCCCUGUGGAGGCCUGCUGCCGCAGCCCCGUCAGGGCUGACCAAUUCGGCUCUUCAACCCUAAAUAAUCGGUGCUCGCCUGUACAGGCGUUCAAUCCCUACCCCAAGGGCUUCUGCCCGGCCUGUUCCCCUUGCGGCCUCCCCAGGCCUCUAAAGCAACACCUGUCGCCGCGUAGCAGAGGCCUCCCCAUCAGUGUCCCUCCGCCUCCGUGGGUGGGCAGGCGUGUACCCCCGCCCAUCAAGCGACGGAUGCACGUGUAGCCUCGCCCCAGCUCGCUCCUGCCCCAGUUCCGGGGGGCGGCACGGGGUGCUGCAACUUUUUU
Molecule: non-coding RNA, 323 nt
Filed under: Chlorella sp. Dachan
Lineage: Eukaryota; Viridiplantae; Chlorophyta; Trebouxiophyceae; Chlorellales; Chlorellaceae
Source: RNAcentral